AACUUUCAACAACGGAUCUCUUGGCUCUGGCAUCGAUGAAGAACGCAGCGAAAUGCGAUAAGUAAUGUGAAUUGCAGAAUUCAGCGAAUCAUCGAAUCUUUGAACGCACAUUGCGCCCGCCAGUACUCUGGCGGGCAUGCCUGUCCGAGCGUCA
RNAcentral lists this ribosomal RNA (154 nucleotides) under Nilaparvata lugens (brown planthopper). RNAcentral describes it as "5.8S ribosomal RNA". It matches the Rfam family "5.8S ribosomal RNA". Rfam says of the family: 5.8S ribosomal RNA (5.8S rRNA) is a component of the large subunit of the eukaryotic ribosome. It is transcribed by RNA polymerase I as part of the 45S precursor that also contains 18S and 28S rRNA. The record is from RNAcentral. Lineage: Eukaryota; Metazoa; Arthropoda; Insecta; Hemiptera; Delphacidae.